RNAcentral lists this transfer RNA (75 nucleotides) under Alphaproteobacteria bacterium. RNAcentral describes it as "tRNA-Val". It matches the Rfam family "tRNA". From Rfam's summary of the family: Transfer RNA (tRNA) molecules are approximately 80 nucleotides in length. Their secondary structure includes four short double-helical elements and three loops (D, anti-codon, and T loops). Further hydrogen bonds mediate the characteristic L-shaped molecular structure. tRNAs have two regions of fundamental functional importance: the anti-codon, which is responsible for specific mRNA codon recognition, and the 3' end, to which the tRNAs corresponding amino acid is attached (by aminoacyl-tRNA synthetases). tRNAs cope with the degeneracy of the genetic code in two manners: having more than one tRNA (with a specific anti-codon) for a particular amino acid; and 'wobble' base-pairing, i.e. permitting non-standard base-pairing at the 3rd anti-codon position. The record is from RNAcentral. RNAcentral also lists the same sequence under 2 other names. Lineage: Bacteria; Pseudomonadati; Pseudomonadota; Alphaproteobacteria.
GGGCGCUUAGCUCAGCGGUAGAGCACUUCCUUGACAUGGAAGGGGUCACAAGUUCGAUCCUUGUAGCGCCCACCA